AGUAAAAGUCGUAACAAGGUCUCCGUUGGUGAACCAGCGGAGGGAUCAUUAUCGAGAGAGUUACAAAACUCCCUAUAAAACCCUUUGCGAACCUCACCCGUCUGCCGUAGUGUCUCCGGCAGGUGGCCCCCCUAGAAGGAGGCGCCUGCCGGGGGGCUCGACCUAAACUCUUUUAUGGCGUCUCUGCCACUGCUGUCUGAGUCGUUAUAAAAUCAAAUUAAAACUUUCAACAACGGAUCUCUUGGUUCUGGCAUCGAUGAAGAACGUAGCGAACUACGAUAAGUAAUGUGAAUUGCAGAAUUCAGUGAAUCAUCGAAUCUUUGAACGCACAUUGCGCCCACCAGCAUUCUGGUGGGCAUGCCUGUUCGAGCGUCAUUUACCAUCCCUCGAGUGCUGCCAUGUGGGCUCGGUGUUGGGGAUCCUCCGGCGGGGGCCUUUUUCGCCCCCUCCGUAGGCCCUCAAGGUCAGUGGCGGGCUCGCCAGCACUCCGGGCGUAGUAGCUUUUUAAUACGCCGCCUAGGGGGGCCGUCUGGCGGGCGACCGGCUGUAAAAAACGCGACUCUGCCGGGUCGCAUACCCAAGGUUGACCUCGGAUCAGGUAAGAAUACCCGCUGAACUUAAGCAUAUCAAUAAGCGGAGGA
RNAcentral lists this ribosomal RNA (641 nucleotides) under uncultured fungus. Its description in RNAcentral is "eukaryotic LSU rRNA". The stretch from base 222 to 375 matches the Rfam family "5.8S ribosomal RNA". The record is from RNAcentral. Lineage: Eukaryota; Fungi.